UAGGGAAUCUUCGGCAAUGGGGGGAACCCUGACCGAGCAACGCCGCGUGAGUGAAGAAGGUUUUCGGAUCGUAAAGCCCUUUUGUUAAGGAAGAACGGGUGUGAGAAUGGAAGUUUCAUGCUGUGACGGUAUUUACCCAGAAAGGGACGCCUAACUACUUCCCAGCAGCCGCGGUAAUACGUAGGUCCCGAGCGUUGUCCGGAUUUAUUGGGCGUAAAGCGAGCGCAGGCGGUUAGAAAAGUCUGAAGUGAAAGCCCCCGGCUCAACCGGGGAGGGUCAUUGGAAACUGGUUGACUUGAGUGCAGAAGAGGAGAGUGGAAUUCCAUGUGUAGCGGUGAAAUGCGUAGAUAUAUGGAGGAACACCAGUGGCGAAGGCGACUCUCUGGUCUGUAACUGACGCUGAGGCUCGAAAGCGUGGGUAGCAAACAGG
This 430-nucleotide ribosomal RNA is filed under the name Bacteroidota bacterium. RNAcentral's name for it is "Bacteroidetes bacterium partial 16S ribosomal RNA". It matches the Rfam family "Bacterial small subunit ribosomal RNA", at positions 355 to 776 of the family's 1533-position model. Lineage: Bacteria; Pseudomonadati; Bacteroidota. The record is from RNAcentral.